GGACUACUCGGGUUUCUAAUCCCGUUCGCUCCCCUGGCUUUCGCGUCUCAGCGUCAGUAAACGUCCAGGACCUCGCUUUCGCCACGGGCGUUCCUUCCGAUCUCAACGCAUUUCACCGCUCCACCGGAAGUUCCAGGUCCCCCUACGUCCCUCCAGGAAGGUCGUAUCCGCGCCCGUUCCCCGGUUGAGCCGGGGGAUUUCAGCAACGGACGUGCCCUCCCGCCUACACGCGCUUUAAGCCCAGUGAUUCCGAAUAACGUUCGCACGGUUCGUCUUACCGCGGCGGCUGGCAC
RNAcentral lists this ribosomal RNA (293 nucleotides) under uncultured Planctomycetota bacterium. Its description in RNAcentral is "uncultured planctomycete partial 16S ribosomal RNA". Lineage: Bacteria; Pseudomonadati; Planctomycetota. The record is from RNAcentral.